CUAUAAUAUUCACUGUAGUGUUUUUGCAGACUUUACUGUAGUAUUUACUGUUAACUAUAGCGUAAAAACUGUAGUAAAAGGAAAACUUUAGUGUAUACUAUAGUAAUUAAUGUAGUGUUUUUUGCGGAUUGUAAUAUACUGUAGUGUUUUUGCUGACACUACUGUAGUAUUUACUAUAGUGUUAUUGCAUUAUAAUCUUUGACAUAGAAGUGAAGGCUUUCUCCUUCAAGAAACCUUCUGGAGAACUAAUAAAAGAGCACAUUUAGCAUAACCUGUAGGUAGGUAGGACUGGGGUCUGAACGGAUAGUUCAGAGCUUCUGCUCUUUUCCAUAACCUGUAAGGAACACAAUAUAUGGUCUAUACUUGGCAUGUAGGUUUCUCACUUAUGGGUGGCACAAAUUGCGAUAUUGAGUAGGGGAAUGGUCAGGGUAUAUACAAAGGAAAUACUGUAGUAUUUACUAUAGCUUACUGUAGUAUUUGUGUAGUAUUUACUACAUUUUUUUGUCGGGAUAAUACUGUAGUAUUUACUAUAGUAUUCUACAGUAUACUACAACAUUCUAUAGUAAGUACUACACAUGAUCGAGGGAUACUACAUUGUGUAAUAUAAUAUUCUACAUUUUACUAUAUCAUUAUUUUCUAUAGUAAGUACUGUAGUAUUCUAUAGUAAACUGUAGUAUAUUUUCAUGUGUGUGUGUCUCUCUCUCAAUCAACAGAUCUCAACCCAAUUAACCCUUAUGGGAGAUUCUGAAACGCGACGCCUGAGACAGCGUUUUCCACCACCAUCAACAAAACACCAAAUUAUAGAGUUCCAGACAUUAGAAUCUAUUCCAAGGCACAUUGAAGCUGUUCUGGUGGCUCGUGGUGGCCCAAUGCCCUAUUAAGACACUUUAUGUUGGUGUUUCCUUUAUUUUGGCAGUUACCUGUAUAUAAUAUAUGUUAAUACAGUAUGUGACCUGCAAAAUCAACAUAGCUGUGUGUUAAAAUGGGAUAUUAUAUGACUAUGGCUGCAGUGUUUGAGCGGAGUUGGUACGAUAAAUGCGCAACUGAAAGCACAAUUGUUUGGAGACUUUGGAACCUGCAAAACUGGUGGUUUUAUGCUCUGUAAUGAAAUGUUUUCCAGAUACAUAAUCAUGUGACAGACAGGAGGUACUUGUAGAGGUCAGCUCCAUUGGAAGAAAGCUGAGUAUCGAAUCCACUUAGUUAACUAUAGAGUAUGGAGUCUUCCAUUGAAGAAAUGUCAUGCUUGGUCUGCAGACUGAAGUUAUAUCAAAUUUACUGGUUAAUUAAUGGUUAAUUUCCCUUAGUUUAUUCUGUAAAUGCUUAACAGUGCCUUUCUUGCAUUUUAAUAUGAUUAUAGUUAUUUUUUCUCCACUGGGCUGCAUAUGUAGCUACAGUGCCUAGCUACGUAGAAUAACUCAUACAGGUGUAAGCUCAGUUUCUGAAACUUGGAUAACACACUUUUAAUGGCUGCAAAUCUACUACAGUACAUCUUCUAUAUCACUUGUACUGUCAUUUAUUAUCCAAAACAGGCCUAAAAGGGCAAUUCAACCACUUUUCAACCUUAUUUUCAUUAUCUCCAGCACAAUUACAUCAUCUUCAUAUAUGAAAACGGCACUUUUCUAGAAAAAAUAUAUAAAGUAAAAAAGUAUGCGAACAUCAAAAAUAAACAUUUAUUUAACAGUGAUUCCCUAACACUAUGAGACUCGCGAUGAUGUGGGGAGCAAGAAAAUACCCUCCCUCUGGCUAGAAACUCAUUGCAGGUUUUGAAAAUCACAGUUUUGUUUACUUUUAAUCCUACCCUGUUUUAAGGACUUUUCUCAUUAUCUUUUUAACCACAGAUCAUAGAAACGGCCUAUUUUCACAUACACUGAGGGUGUUUCUCAAUAUGCAUACUACCUUGCUCCACACUCUCAUGCUCUGAAUGCAUUCUCCAAUGCUUUCUCUUGAGUAUGUUCUUGUGAGGACGAGCGUGUGGAGAAUGCAUAAAACAUUACGUUUUGAGAAGCACUCACACUUCCCCCUACUGUAUUACCUCAUGCUUCACUUCCCCAUUCCCUGAACCUUCAUCCAGCCAGGACAAUGGCAAGAAUAGACUAAACAAAAAAUGACCUCAAAUUAAUAUUACGCAAGAUAUUUGUCAAUUCUUCAUGGGUAGCUAGCUAACUAUUCUUCAUGGCUAUCUGGCUAGCUAAAAGUAGUAGCUAGCCAGAUAGCCCUAUUGACUUAUUAUGGGUUUGCGAUCUAUGGUACGUAGGCAGGUAAACAUUAACACAGCAUGUAUUUAUUAACAUAUCAAGAUAAAAUAUUGUAGUCAGGCAACAUAUGAGAUGGGAAGAGGCAACAUUUCAUUCCGAAGUCAGUGUAUUUUCUCUCGCUUCAGCUUAAAUAAUGGCCGUCAUUUUUACGUGGCUGCGUCAUAUUUCUUUGCAUACUUUCAAUUCUUUCAGUUGAAGCUUGCAUUGAUGCAUGCUUCAAAAUAUGUACUAUUAUACAAUGGGUGGGUCUAAUCCUGGAUGCUGAUUGGUUAAAACCACAUUCCAGCCGCGUCUAUUCCACAAGUUACCACCGGCUAACUCUAUGACUUUGAAAUAUCUAUUUACUCUCACUGCGCAAUCCACUGUCUCAUCAACCCAGCCAGGCAAUUUAUAAACUUGAUCUCUACUAUAAAAAGCAUCUAGACAUUAUCUCCCAUUUCUUUUAGACUAUCAUUUGGUUUUCAACGGCAGAGAUUUGUAUAAACUGUGCAGUCUGUCUGCCCCGACAUUUGCAACAUUGUUUCAAUAUUGAAAUUUAUCUCCAGCUGUCCUGUAGUAAUGAACAUGUCGGGACCAGACAGACAGACAGAUUUUCUUAGCCAGUCGAAAUCAUGAAUCAGCUGGUAUCAUUUUUAUGAAUAUAUACAAAGAAAUGUCAACAGAAAACAGGACAAACUAAAUGAAGUUGAAGAACAGCUAGUCUGCAGUCUUUCUAGCUUCAGACUGAAGUGAUUCUGUUAGCUGUAUUGUUGGCUAGCUCCUAUGAUCAACAAUGUCCUAACUAGAGAGCACAUUUUCUAUGUCAGGCGAAAUCGCGCAUCAUUAGCUCAUUGUUAUGGAUGUAUCUAAAUAAAUGUCACUAGAAAACAGUUUAAACAAAUAACAGCAAAUGUAGCCACUUUGCUGUUAUUCUGGCCGUAGUUAGCCGUAGUUGGCUAGCUAUCAAACAAGGAUUAAGAACGUUGCCAGCCAGUACGGCAAUGGAACAUUUAGAACUAACUACAGAGUUGCGUCCAUGGAUGCAGAACAAAAAGAUAUAACGACUGGGUCGUGUCUCUGGCAACCGAACCAAUAGAUCGAAUGACCAGCCUUGUGUAGUAACCUUAGAUUUGUGUCGGGACUAUAUCUCGUGGCAGAAUGAAAUAAUAUGAAUUCAUUUAUCAAAAUAAUGUUUUUUAUGACAAUAUGUCAAUCAUUAUUUGAAUAUGUUGGUAACUCCUUGUAUAAAAGUGAUAAUUCCCUUGAAGCUGGAGAAGACAGGAUAAUUGUAAAGAAUGAUUUUUAAACCUUCAGACAAUUGAGACAUGGAUUGUGUAUGUGUGCCAUUCAGAGGGUGAAUCGGCAAGACAAAAGAUUUAAGUGCCUUUGAACGGGGUAUGGUAGUAAGUGCCAAGCGCACCAAUUUGAGUGUGCCAAGAACUGCAAUGUGGCAAGGUUUUUCACACUCAACAGUUUCCCAUGUGUAUCAAGAAUGGUCCACCACCCAAUAGACAUCCAGCCAACUUGACACAACUGUGGGAAGCAUUGGAGUCAACAUAGGCCAGCAUCCUUGUGGAACGCUAUCGACACGGUGUAGAGUCCAUGCCCCUACCAAUUGAGGCUGUUCUGAAGACAAAGGGGGGUGGAACUCAAUAUUAGGAAGGUGUUUCUAAUGUUUUGUACACUCAGUGUAUGUAGAUACUGUUUUGGUGCUGGAGAUAAUGAAUACGGCAGAAUUGCCCUUGAAAAUACAUGGUUGAUAAUGUUAACAUUCCUAAUUCUUUCAAAUUAAUGUAUUAAAGUGCACAUAACAGAGGUUACAAGAUCUCUGUGGAGGAGAAAUACAAAAUGAAUUGUAAUAUUAUACAUCAAUAAACUAC
Oncorhynchus tshawytscha (Chinook salmon) is the source of this 4114-nucleotide long non-coding RNA. The record is from Ensembl. NCBI's taxonomy places the organism in Eukaryota, Metazoa, Chordata, Actinopteri, Salmoniformes, Salmonidae.